RNAcentral lists this ribosomal RNA (57 nucleotides) under Oxyrrhynchium hians. RNAcentral's name for it is "partial 26S ribosomal RNA". RNAcentral also lists the same sequence under 1 other name. Lineage: Eukaryota; Viridiplantae; Streptophyta; Bryopsida; Hypnales; Brachytheciaceae. The record is from RNAcentral.
CAGACCUCUAAUCGGAAAAGACUACCCGCUGAGUUUAAGCAUAUCACUAAGCGGAGG